This 69-nucleotide transfer RNA is filed under the name Rhyacotriton variegatus (southern torrent salamander). RNAcentral's name for it is "tRNA-Phe". The record is from RNAcentral. Lineage: Eukaryota; Metazoa; Chordata; Amphibia; Caudata; Rhyacotritonidae.
GUUCACGUCACUUAAUUUAAAGUUUGAUACUGAAGACAUCAAAAUAGGUCUAAAUAGGCCUCGUAAACA